AAAUGUAGGUAAGGAUGUUUUCAACAUCUGUCACCCAUGGAUCUUCGGGGGGAUCUGGCUGGCUAGGCAGGUGUGCCUUUCCUCUAUCACUGCUCCACGUGCAUCCCUCCCAAAGCUGCAAACUGGGGUCAAAGAGACAAAAGUUUCCCUGAAAGAGAAGAAGCAUUGUUCAGCCAAGGCUGUGUGAGUGGCUGCUCUCUGCUGCUACACCCACCAAACAAACGCUUAAAUUUGGAUAAACAGGCAACUACAAUAUGAAUACAAGAAACAGAAAAACCCAAGAGU
Molecule: small nuclear RNA, 285 nt
Filed under: Nannospalax galili (Upper Galilee mountains blind mole rat)
Lineage: Eukaryota; Metazoa; Chordata; Mammalia; Rodentia; Spalacidae
Description: 7SK RNA (ENSNGAG00000008518.1)
Rfam family: 7SK RNA
About the family: 7SK was discovered as an abundant small nuclear RNA in the mid-70s but a possible function has only recently been suggested. Two independent studies have found that 7SK RNA binds the CDK9/cyclin T complex (known as elongation factor P-TEFb).
Source: RNAcentral